GGCGAACGCUGGCGGCGCGCUUAACACAUGCAAGUCGAACGGAAAGGCCUGCUUUCCCUUGUGGAUUGCGGGUACUCGAGUGGCGAACGGGUGAGUAACACGUGAGUGAUCUGCCCCCAACUUGGGUAUAAGCCUGGGAAACUGGGUCUAAUUCCCGAUAGGACUGCAGGGUGGUGCCUGUGGUGGAAAACGAUUUUCUAGUGGUUGGGGAUGAGCUCGCGGCCUAUCAGCUUGUUGGUGGGGUAAUGGCCUACCAAGGCGGUGACGGGUAGCCGGCCUGAGAGGGUGGACGGCCACAUUGGGACUGAGAUACGGCCCAGACUCCUACGGGAGGCAGCAGUGGGGAAUAUUGCACAAUGGGCGGAAGCCUGGUGCAGCGACGCCGCGUGGGGGAUGACGGCCUUCGGGUUGUAAACUCCUUUCGACCGCGAGGAAGCCACCUGGUUGGAAGGGUGGUGACGGUAGUGGUAGAAGAAGCACCGGCUAACUACGUG
This 494-nucleotide ribosomal RNA is filed under the name uncultured bacterium. Its description in RNAcentral is "partial 16S ribosomal RNA". It matches the Rfam family "Bacterial small subunit ribosomal RNA", at positions 28 to 507 of the family's 1533-position model. The record is from RNAcentral.